GACGAACGCUGGCGGCGUGCCUAAUACAUGCAAGUAGAACGCACAGUUUAUACCGUAGCUUGCUACACCAUAGACUGUGAGUUGCGAACGGGUGAGUAACGCGUAGGUAACCUGCCUGGUAGCGGGGGAUAACUAUUGGAAACGAUAGCUAAUACCGCAUAAUAUUAAUUAUUGCAUGAUAAUUAAUUGAAAGGUGCAAUUGCACCACUACCAGAUGGACCUGCGUUGUAUUAGCUAGUAGGUGAGGUAACGGCUCACCUAGGCGACGAUACAUAGCCGACCUGAGAGGGUGAUCGGCCACACUGGGACUGAGACACGGCCCAGACUCCUACAGGAGGCAGCAGUAGGGAAUCUUCGGCAAUGGACGAAAGUCUGACCGAGCAACGCCGCGUGAGUGAAGAAGGUUUUCGGAUCGUAAAGCUCUGUUGUAAGAGAAGAACGGGUGUGAGAGUGGAAAGUUCACACUGUGACGGUAUCUGACCAGAAAGGGACGGCUAACUACGUG
This 505-nucleotide ribosomal RNA is filed under the name uncultured bacterium. RNAcentral describes it as "partial 16S ribosomal RNA". It matches the Rfam family "Bacterial small subunit ribosomal RNA", at positions 28 to 507 of the family's 1533-position model. The record is from RNAcentral.